Acomys russatus (golden spiny mouse) is the source of this 362-nucleotide long non-coding RNA. RefSeq lists it as uncharacterized. NCBI's taxonomy places the organism in Eukaryota, Metazoa, Chordata, Mammalia, Rodentia, Muridae. The transcript is spliced from 3 exons. The record is from RefSeq and is a predicted model, not a curated record.
UGUUUUGUUUUGUUUGUUUGUUUGUUUUUAAUUCCUUCUCUCUGGUACUCAAUAAGCCAUGGAGAGGAAAGAGAAAGAAAUGACUAGAAGUUUACAGUCUGCUUACUCAUAGCAACUGAAAAUUUUCUUAGGUUCUGGUUCCGAGGGAGGGAGCUGAAGAACUCACCCAGGUGUCUGACGCGUUGAGAGCAGCGGCCAGGCUCCUGGUGGCUCCUGGAGCAGCUUUGGAUCCAUCUAUUUUCCCAUGAACAUUCUUCCAGCUGAAAACUUGCCAAAUUUUAUCAGCUGCACCAGUGAUUUCAAGCAGAGAGAAAGUCUGGAGUAUUCUGGUUGACUUGAGCGCCUACAGCUGGACACGGUGA